RNAcentral lists this ribosomal RNA (507 nucleotides) under uncultured bacterium. Its description in RNAcentral is "bacterial SSU rRNA". It matches the Rfam family "Bacterial small subunit ribosomal RNA", at positions 39 to 524 of the family's 1533-position model. The record is from RNAcentral.
CUGCGGCGGCCUACACAUGCAAGUCGAACGCACGAAGUUGAAGAGCUUGCUCUUUAACAAGUGAGUGGCGGACGGGUGAGUAACACGUGGGUAACCUGCCCAUUAGAGGGGGAUAACAUUCAGAAACGGAUGCUAAUACCGCAUAGUUUCAGGGAUCGCAUGAUUCUUGAAAGAAAGGUGGCUUCGGCUACCACUAAUGGAUGGACCCGCGGCGUAUUAGCUAGUUGGUGAGGUAAUGGCUCACCAAAGCAAUGAUACAUAGCCGACCUGAAAGGGUGAUCGGCCGCACUGGGACUGAGACACAGCCCAGACUCCUACGGGAGGCAGCAGUAGGGAAUCUUCCGCAAUGGACGAAAGUCUGACAGAGCAACGCCGCGUGAGUGAAGAAGGUUUUCGGAUCGUAAAACUCUGUUGUUAAAGAAGAACAAGGAUGAGAGUAACUGCUCAUCCCCUGACGGUAUUUAACCAGAAAGCCACGGCUAACUACGUGCCAGCAGCCGCGGUAAU